Molecule: ribosomal RNA, 530 nt
Filed under: Escherichia coli
Lineage: Bacteria; Pseudomonadati; Pseudomonadota; Gammaproteobacteria; Enterobacterales; Enterobacteriaceae
Description: partial 23S ribosomal RNA
Rfam family: Bacterial large subunit ribosomal RNA
Source: RNAcentral
GGUUAAGCGACUAAGCGUACACGGUGGAUGCCCUGGCAGUCAGAGGCGAUGAAGGACGUGCUAAUCUGCGAUAAGCGUCGGUAAGGUGAUAUGAACCGUUAUAACCGGCGAUUUCCGAAUGGGGAAACCCAGUGUGUUUCGACACACUAUCAUUAACUGAAUCCAUAGGUUAAUGAGGCGAACCGGGGGAACUGAAACAUCUAAGUACCCCGAGGAAAAGAAAUCAACCGAGAUUCCCCCAGUAGCGGCGAGCGAACGGGGAGGAGCCCAGAGCCUGAAUCAGUGUGUGUGUUAGUGGAAGCGUCUGGAAAGGCGCGCGAUACAGGGUGACAGCCCCGUACACAAAAAUGCACAUGCUGUGAGCUCGAUGAGUAGGGCGGGACACGUGGUAUCCUGUCUGAAUAUGGGGGGACCAUCCUCCAAGGCUAAAUACUCCUGACUGACCGAUAGUGAACCAGUACCGUGAGGGAAAGGCGAAAAGAACCCCGGCGAGGGGAGUGAAAAAGAACCUGAAACCGUGUACGUACAAG